CCUAACGUUGAAUCAUACAAUGUUCAUUUUGAGAUCCAUACAUCCCAACCUCCUUUUGUGCAUUUAUAUGAAUUUGAAACGAUGAUCGUACAAUUUAAUGAUAGAUAUCAUAAAAAAAAUUAUUUAUUUUUUCGUGCAAAAGAUGCAAGCUAAACCUCUAGUAUGGCGGUCAAGGAGAAGAGGGUAUGUUGGCCGGGUCAAC
This 202-nucleotide long non-coding RNA is filed under the name Elaeis guineensis (African oil palm). RNAcentral's name for it is "long non-coding RNA (EGUI_LNC030813)". The record is from RNAcentral. Lineage: Eukaryota; Viridiplantae; Streptophyta; Magnoliopsida; Arecales; Arecaceae.